RNAcentral lists this ribosomal RNA (995 nucleotides) under uncultured bacterium. Its description in RNAcentral is "bacterial SSU rRNA". It matches the Rfam family "Bacterial small subunit ribosomal RNA", at positions 509 to 1504 of the family's 1533-position model. The record is from RNAcentral.
CAGCAGCCGCGGUAAUACGGAGGGAGCAAACGUUGUUCGGAUUUACUGGGUGUAAAGGGUGCGUAGGCGGCUACGUGUGUCGGAGGUGAAAUCCAGCGGCUCAACCGUUGGACUGCCCCCGAAACUGCGUGGCUUGAGUCCGUGAGAGGUUGGUGGAAUUCCUGGUGUAACGGUGAAAUGUGCAGAUAUCAGGAAGAACACCCGUGGCGAAGGCGGCCAACUGGCACGGUACUGACGCUGAGGCACGAAAGCUAGGGUAUCGAACGGGAUUAGAUACCCCGGUAGUCCUAGCCGUAAACGAUGUCCACUAGGUGUCGGAGGUCCUACCCCUUCGGUGCCGCCGCUAACGCAUUAAGUGGACCACCUGGGGAGUACGAUCGCAAGGUUGAAACUCAAAGGAAUUGACGGGGGCCCGCACAAGCGGUGGAGCAUGUGGUUUAAUUCGAUGCAACGCGAAGAACCUUACCGGGGUUUGACAUCCAGAGGACAGGUGUAGAGAUACACUCUCCUUCGGGUCUCUGGACAGGUGCUGCAUGGCUGUCGUCAGCUCGUGUCGUGAAAUGUUGGGUUAAGUCCCGCAACGAGCGCAACCCUUGCCCUUAGUUGCCAGCACGUAAUGGUGGGAACUCUAGGGGGACUGCCGGUGACAAACCGGAGGAAGGUGGGGAUGACGUCAAGUCAUCAUGGCCCUUACAUCCCGGGCUACACACGUGCUACAAUGGCGCAUACAAUGGGCUGCGACCCCGCGAGGGUGAGCCAAUCCCAAAAAGUGCGCCUCAGUUCGGAUUGCAGUCUGCAACUCGACUGCAUGAAGUCGGAAUCGCUAGUAAUCGCGGAUCAGCACGCCGCGGUGAAUCCGUUCCCGGGCCUUGUACACACCGCCCGUCAAGUCAACCGAAUUGGUUGCACCCGAAGUCGUCGAGCUAACCCGUAAGGGAAGCAGGCGCCGAAGGUGUGGCUAGUGAGGGGGACUAAGUCGUAACAAGGUAACCGUA